Paramarasmius palmivorus is the source of this 73-nucleotide non-coding RNA. The record is from the annotation of a GenBank genome assembly. Lineage: Eukaryota; Fungi; Basidiomycota; Agaricomycetes; Agaricales; Marasmiaceae.
GGCACUAUAGCUCAGUGGUUAGAGCACCUAACAUGUAAUCAGGAGGUCUGGGGUUCGACUCCCCAUGGCGCCA